UACAGAGGUCUCAAGCGUUGUUCGGAUUCAUUGGGCGUAAAGGGUGCGUAGGUGGCGCUGUAAGUCGGGUGUGAAAUCUCGGGGCUUAACUCCGAAACUGCAUUCGAUACUGCCGUGCUUGAGGACUGGAGAGGAGACUGGAAUUUACGGUGUAGCGGUGAAAUGCGUAGAUAUCGUAAGGAAGACCGGUGGCGAAGGCGGGUCUCUGGACAGUUCCUGACGCUGAGGCACGAAGGCCAGGGGAGCAAACGGG
This 253-nucleotide ribosomal RNA is filed under the name uncultured bacterium. Its description in RNAcentral is "partial 16S ribosomal RNA". It matches the Rfam family "Bacterial small subunit ribosomal RNA", at positions 524 to 776 of the family's 1533-position model. The record is from RNAcentral.